UACGAAGGGGGCUAGCGUUGCUCGGAAUCACUGGGCGUAAGCGCACGGUGGGUGGUCGGCAAGGCGGGGGGGAAAUCCUGGAGCUCAACUCCAGAACUGCCUUCGAUACUGGCGAUCUUUGGGUCCGGGAGAGGUGGGUGGAACUGCGAGUGUAGAGGUGAAAUUCGUAGAUAUUCGCAAGAACACCAGUGGCGAAGGCGGCUCACUGGCCCGGUACUGACACUGAGGUGCGAAAGCGUGGGGAGCAAACAGG
RNAcentral lists this ribosomal RNA (253 nucleotides) under uncultured bacterium. Its description in RNAcentral is "partial 16S ribosomal RNA". It matches the Rfam family "Bacterial small subunit ribosomal RNA", at positions 524 to 776 of the family's 1533-position model. The record is from RNAcentral.